Molecule: ribosomal RNA, 92 nt
Filed under: Rhytidium rugosum
Lineage: Eukaryota; Viridiplantae; Streptophyta; Bryopsida; Hypnales; Rhytidiaceae
Description: 5.8S ribosomal RNA
Source: RNAcentral
GGAUAAGUAAUGGAUUGCAGAAUUCCGGAAUCAUCGAGUCUUUGAACGCAACUUGCGCCUGGCUUGAGUCACCAAGGGGCCAUUCGCUAGAG